GCGCACGGUGGCUUAGUGGUUAGCAUGUUCGCCUCACAACUUCAGGGUCCGGAGUUCGAUUCCCGCUGGGGCC
Molecule: non-coding RNA, 73 nt
Organism: Ameiurus melas (black bullhead)
Lineage: Eukaryota; Metazoa; Chordata; Actinopteri; Siluriformes; Ictaluridae
Source: the annotation of a GenBank genome assembly